AACCCUGACCGAGCAACGCCGCGUGAGUGAAGAAGGUUUCGGAUCGUAAAGCUCUGUUGUAAGAGAAGAACGAGUGUGAGAGUGGAAAGUUCACACUGUGACGGUAACUUACCAGAAAGGGACGGCUAACUACGUGCCAGCAGCCGCGGUAAUACGUAGGUCCCGAGCGUUGUCCGGAUUUAUUGGGCGUAAAGCGAGCGCAGGCGGUUAGAUAAGUCUGAAGUUAAAGGCUGUGGCUUAACCAUAGUACGCUUUGGAAACUGUUUAACUUGAGUGCAGAAGGGGAGAGUGGAAUUCCAUGUGUAGCGGUGAAAUGCGUAGAUAUAUGGAGGAACACCGGUGGCGAAAGCGGCUCUCUGGUCUGUAACUGACGCUGAGGCUCGAAAGCGUGGGGAGCAAACAGGAUUAGAUACCCUGGUAGUCCACGCCGUAAACGAUGAGUGCUAGGUGUUGGGUCCUUUCCGGGACUCAGUGCCGCAGCUAACGCAUUAAGCACUCCGCCUGGGGAGUACGAACGCAAGGUUGAAAC
This 529-nucleotide ribosomal RNA is filed under the name Streptococcus sinensis. Its description in RNAcentral is "bacterial SSU rRNA". It matches the Rfam family "Bacterial small subunit ribosomal RNA", at positions 379 to 900 of the family's 1533-position model. The record is from RNAcentral. Lineage: Bacteria; Bacillati; Bacillota; Bacilli; Lactobacillales; Streptococcaceae.